AUUGAACGCUGGCGGCAGGCCUAACACAUGCAAGUCGAGCGGAGCGACGGACGGGUGAGUAAUGCCUAGGAAUCUGCCUGGUAGUGGGGGAUAACGACCGGCAACGGGCGCUAAUACCUCCUACUAUCAGAUGAGCCUAGGUGGGAUUAGCUAGCUGGUGGGGUAAGGGCCUACAAAGGCGACGAUCCGUACCUGGUCUGAGAGGAUGAUCAGUCACACUGGAACUGAGACACGGUCCAGACUCCUACGGGAGGCAGCAGUGGGGAAUAUUGGACAAUGGGCGAAAGCCUGAUCCAGCCAUGCCGCGUGUAUGAAGAAGGUCUUAGGAUUGUAAAGCACUUUAAGUUGGGAGGCGUUACCGACAGAAUAAGCACCGGCUAACUUCGUGCCAGCCGCCGCGGUAAUAC
This 407-nucleotide ribosomal RNA is filed under the name uncultured bacterium. RNAcentral's name for it is "partial 16S ribosomal RNA". It matches the Rfam family "Bacterial small subunit ribosomal RNA", at positions 30 to 526 of the family's 1533-position model. The record is from RNAcentral.